CUCAUCUUCAGCUUUCCUGAACACAGACAUAUUUACUCCUCUGUACCACACACGGUCAAAGCACUGACAAAUCUAAACGUGCAAAGCAGAUUCCUGCAUCCUCACUGCCUUCUGACACUCUAUCACAUAGACCUUACAAAGGUCUUUUUAUCAAUGCUUUUUUAUCAAAAGCAAUGUUGCAGCUGGAGUAGGGAGAAAUAGAAGGCCAAUCUUUAUUAUCUUUCCUUCAACCACCUGGCAGAGCUGAAAGAAGAGACUGGCUUUUGGAAUGCACAGGCUUUUCUGGGAGAAGUUAGGAUUAUUGUUUUAUGGGGAAAGUGCAGCAAAGCAAAGGGAAGCAUCUUCAUGAUAAUCUUCCGUUAGACUGGGAGGAUCAGAUGUCUUUAGCUUGAAUGUCACACUGUGUUGCCUUCCUCCCUUGCAGACAGAGGACCACUUGCACAAGUCACUUAUUGGCAGGUGUGAUAAAAAAAAAAAAGGGUAAAAAUUAUUGCUCAUAAGAAAUACAUUGUGCUGGAAUAGUCAGGAACUGUUCAAACUGUCAUCUUAAACGGGGACACAUGCCCUGCCAUAAUUUAUUUAUGCUACCUAUUAGGUAAUACUAAGUUUUUUCCUUGUUGCCUAUAAAAUACAAAUGUUUCCCAAUUAAACAGGGCUAGGAUUGAGUAAGCACAACACUAUCACCAUCACUCCAUAGCUAAUUUCCUGGCAGGAGCUGUACUGAAAUACAACGCAGGCCAGUAGCGUCUCUUAGCAGGCUGGAUGCAGCACAGGCAAGUAGUGUCCCUUGGACGGCUGGAGGGGAACGCUUUUAGGACACACUGUCUGGGAGGACAGGAAAGAGACUAUGCUGACAGCAAGGGGCUUCUCUCAUGAAGAAAUGGAGAAAAGCUGUUGGGCUCCAAAAUGCCUUUGAAUUCCGGGUGCUUCUGAGCUUUUAUUUGCAAAUCUAGGAGCCAGCUUAAUUUAUGAUUAUGGUUAUGAAUAUUUUAGCUCAUGCCUGGAUUUCAGAUGACCAUUUACAUAAGCCUGACACUUGCCCAUGACUACAUGAGGUCAGCCGACAUGAAUCACCUCCCAACCUGCCGUGAAGGCUGACACAUGGUGAUGGGUGGGGUUCCUGCGCUUGUUUUCCCUCUAGCAGCUGAGGACGUGGAUGGGGGACAGCAAGGUCACACCCUGCACCAUGAAGGCUGGAGAUAACAGAGCCUGUCUUCUAGAGGCAGAGGGAUUUCAAACCAGGCUGCCAGGCCACAAACUGAAAAGCCAGGGUGGUUGGAUGGGUGGACACCUGAGAAGGGUGCAUCUGCCCCAAGGUGCCCAAAAGCCACAGGGGCUAAUGGCAAUCAUCACAGGGAUGGUGUCUUCACGAGCCCAGAUGAAUAGUUGGUUUCUCUAUAUUUAUUGCUCUGUGACCAACUCAGACUUGGGGAUCUGAAUGCAGUGAGACUGAUCCUGCCUCAGAUCUCCUGUUGUGUCCUGGCUUUUUUUAAUUUAGGGUACAAAAGGUGACACCUUCCUGUUUUCAGCCAGCAAGAGCUUGUCAGCAAUGUUGGAAACCACUGUCAGCAGACUUGGAAGGAUGGAGCACCAAAAGAUAUUAAUCUUUCCCCACACUCGGAGCUUGGAGAUGCUUCCAUUGGUAUGAUCGUUCCUUUGGGAAAAGGUGUCAGUUCUUAUUUCUCCUUUAGCCCAGAAUGAAAAACUGCUUUUUCAGUGCUUUCUGGAGCAGCUAUCUUCCCCAGCACCUCCUGCAAUGCCAGGACCAGGUCUGAGCCCUGGCUUGUCCUAACUGCAGACUCAGAAAAACUGUACAUUUUCGCUCCUCACAUGCUACUUUCCUUUCAGAGGGCAGCUAUAAGUUGCAGAGCAUUUGAGUACAUCUUCUGGUCUGCAUGAAUAGGACACAAAAAGGUGGGCUGGCUACUGAUUGAGCUACACUCUCAUCUGUAACAGUAUCUCACAGCGAGUGGUACAGUGCAAGUACUAUUUCUGGAGCAAUGCUAUGUGGACACACUUUUAUGUUUUAUGGAGAAAUAUUCCACCAUCUACAGCUUAAGCUUCAGGUCACCUAUGUGCCUUGGACAAUUGUGUGUGCAUGGAGCCCAUCCAUAGAGCCUAGUUACUGCUGAUAUUGACUGAAACAUUGGUGAGCAUUUCCAUGGUGAGCAUUUAGUCUGUUGUGGGAUUUGUUUGUAGUCCUUUUCUGCUCAAAAGCCUAAGCAAAAACCUGGAAAAUGUUGAGACAAAGGCAAGAAUGGUAACCAAGUGUAUGGAAGACUCUCAAGUCAGAAACAAUAGGGAUGGUUUGGAUUUUUCAGCCAGGUGAAAAGAAAAUUUUCUUUUUUUUUAAAAAAAAAACAAAACAGAAAAAAGAAAAGGGAGGUGGCAGAGGUCUGUAACAUUAUAAAUGAUACAGGGGCGUCGGGCAUGGAUUUGACUUGUCAUGAUUUCUUGCAAUACAGGAACUAGGGGUCAGCAAACGAGGCUGGGAGGACAGGCUGGUUCUUCAUUCAAAAGAACUUCCUGCUGAAGAAGGCUGUGGCUGCAAAAGGCUUGUGGGGGCUUAAGGUGAAGCUGGACAAGCACUUGAAAGUGCAAUACAUAAUGAAGUAGAAAGGCCACAUGAGGCUCAGGAAAUCCCAUCAGCUGAAGAUAUUUAGACAUCUUCCCUGUGCAUGCUUUCCUGACUGCUGUGAAAGGUAGAUCUGCAGGCAAAGGGAUACUCACCAGGCGGCCAAGUCAACAGCUAGCCCAGAAUUACAGCCUUGCCUCUAAGUGAGAGCACGAGUUAGUAACAGCCCUCCCAGCCUUUUAUCAGAAGAUCUGGGAAUCAACAGGACCUGAAUGUCUGGCUGUUUCUGUAAAGAGAUUAAAGAUUUCUUUGCCAGACCCUCCAUAAGACUUUGCCUAAACCACCAGAAACUCAAACCCACCAGCAAACAAGAGAACCCUGAGUUUGCCCUUUACCCUGCAAAUGCACACAUUUUCUUUACCAAUACCAGGAAUCCCAAGGGCUCCCCCCCUACACUAAUAAAGAACAGGCUCACCCUCUCCUGUGCUCCUGAGUCAAAACUGUGUGGGUACCUGGGGUGAAGACCCCUGAAACCCUGAAGCCAGAGCAGGGUUUGCUGGUAGAAGUGAUGCCUUCCUUGCUUUUGGAAUCUUCUCUGCCAUCCAAAGCAACUCUUGCAUCUCCCAUUGGUGGUGUGUGCCCUCAGUCUGGCAAACUUUGGUAAGUGAAAGCCAUUCACUGAGCCGCUGUGACUCCUGGCUUGGACAGAGUGGGAACAAACCAGGCCCUGAAUCUACAAAAUCAUUAUUCCAUUCUCUUUAACGCAGUGGAAGGUUUGCUAAAUAUUAGGAUUUGGAGGGACCCCCGCUGAGCUACUCCAAAAGGAGUUGGUCUUCCAAAAUACAGUGAAUAUCUGCCCUCUGAGAAACAGACUUUGUAAAGUCUCUCCUCUUCAGAUCCAUAAAUGACCUGACAGGCCCAAACUUCUGAGCUACAUUUUCUGCCUCCUUUUUUUCAAGACCAGUUACCAAACACUGAAUUUCCCUUAAAAAUACUACUUCUGUAGGUUGUAACGCCCCCUUUUUACCUUCCCAUGAUGGAAUGCGUCCACACAGCUUUUAAUUUCUUUUUUUUUCUUUCUUUUUUUUUUUUUUAAAGAAAAGCAUAUGUCAAGUAAAAGCAGCUGAAAUUAGAAUAAACCAUGCCACAAAACUACCUCUCUCUCUUCACCUCCUGCUUUGUCAUAGAUUUCAUUGCAUGGGGUGUUUUCACAUUUCAUUGCUUGCUUUCUGUAUCAGAAGGGAGAUGGUUUUUCAUAAAUCAGUAAUUCCAAACAAAUGGUAAAAUGCUUCUCAUCCUGCUCUAGCAAAUACUGGUUUCUUCCACAGUAUGGAAAAAGGCUGGAAGGGAGGAUGAGGUGGAUCAUAAGUCAAAGGCCUGCUGAACAGCCUGUGGGAUCUCCUCUCUGAAUUCAUUAAGCCACACAAAACAAUCCUUUCCUGAAAGCCAUCAGGAGUAAAACUCCACCAGUUCCACUGUGGCCAGGCUUCCCCUUUCGAUUUCCACAGAUAACUCCAUUCCUGUGGCUGGUGAUCUGUGGAUGAACCAAAUAGUGAAGCUGUUCUGAGAAAGCAGAAACAACCUGGCUGAGUCCUGUCAGCAGCUCAACGCAUCUUCCAUGGCCAAUGCCAACUGCUCUGAGCAACGACAGCAAACUUCACAUGUUAACUAACUGUCUCUGGAGGACAGUCUCUUGGACACGGGCUUCUGGGAGCCAUGCAGCUCUCCCAGCUCUCUUCAAUGUUGCCUUCUACCUUGGACUGCCUUUUGAGCUGGGGCAAAGUAUUUGCAAUGCACCUCUGAAGCAGG
This is a long non-coding RNA of Falco peregrinus (peregrine falcon), 4384 nucleotides long. RefSeq lists it as uncharacterized. The transcript has 5 exons. The record is from RefSeq and is a predicted model, not a curated record. NCBI's taxonomy places the organism in Eukaryota, Metazoa, Chordata, Aves, Falconiformes, Falconidae.